GUGGGGAAUCUUAGACAAUGGGGGAAACCCUGAUCUAGCCAUGCCGCGUGAGCGAUGAAGGCCUUAGGGUUGUAAAGCUCUUUCAGCUGGGAAGAUAAUGACGGUACCAGCAGAAGAAGCCCCGGCUAACUCCGUGCCAGCAGCCGCGGUAAUACGGAGGGGGCUAGCGUUGUUCGGAAUUACUGGGCGUAAAGCGCGCGUAGGCGGACCAGAAAGUUGGAGGUGAAAUCCCAGGGCUCAACCUUGGAACUGCCUUCAAAACUCCUGGUCUGGAGUUCGAGGGAGGUGAGUGGAAUUCCGAGUGUAGAGGUGAAAUUCGUAGAUAUUCGGAGGAACACCAGUGGCGAAGGCGGCUCACUGGCUCGAUACUGACGCUGAGGUGCGAAAGCGUGGGGAGCAAACAGGAUUAGAAACCCGGGUAGUCC
Molecule: ribosomal RNA, 425 nt
Filed under: uncultured bacterium
Lineage: Bacteria
Description: partial 16S ribosomal RNA
Rfam family: Bacterial small subunit ribosomal RNA
Source: RNAcentral